This 420-nucleotide ribosomal RNA is filed under the name uncultured bacterium. RNAcentral describes it as "bacterial SSU rRNA". It matches the Rfam family "Bacterial small subunit ribosomal RNA", at positions 135 to 573 of the family's 1533-position model. The record is from RNAcentral.
ACAGGGGGAUAACAGUUAGAAAUGACUGCUAAUACCGCAUAAGCGCACAGUGCUGCAUGGCACAGUGUGAAAAACUCCGGUGGUAUGAGAUGGACCCGCGUCUGAUUAGCUAGUUGGUGGGGUGACGGCCUACCAAGGCGACGAUCAGUAGCCGGCCUGAGAGGGUGAACGGCCACAUUGGGACUGAGACACGGCCCAAACUCCUACGGGAGGCAGCAGUGGGGAAUAUUGCACAAUGGGGGAAACCCUGAUGCAGCGACGCCGCGUGAGCGAAGAAGUAUUUCGGUAUGUAAAGCUCUAUCAGCAGGGAAGAAAAUGACGGUACCUGACUAAGAAGCACCGGCUAAAUACGUGCCAGCAGCCGCGGUAAUACGUAUGGUGCAAGCGUUAUCCGGAUUUACUGGGUGUAAAGGGAGCGUA